GGACUACGGGGGUUUCUAAUCCUGUUUGCUCCCCACGCUUUCGCACAUGAGCGUCAAUGCCAGACCAGGUAGUCGCCUUCGCCACUGGUGUUCUUCCGAAUAUCUACGAAUUUCACCUCUACACUCGGAAUUCCACUACCCUCUUCUGGAUUCUAGCUCGACAGUCUUAAAAGCAAUUCCCAGGUUAAGCCCGGGGCUUUCACUUCUAAUUUAUCGAGCCGCCUGCGUGCGCUUUACGCCCAGUAAUUCCGAACAACGCUAGCCCCCUUCGUAUUACCGCGGCGGCUGACAC
Molecule: unclassified non-coding RNA, 292 nt
Filed under: uncultured Rhodospirillales bacterium
Lineage: Bacteria; Pseudomonadati; Pseudomonadota; Alphaproteobacteria; Rhodospirillales
Description: contains 16S-23S intergenic spacer region
Source: RNAcentral